AUCCAGUUGACGAAUCUCAAACUAGAACGAAACGUGUGUCCUGGAU
This 46-nucleotide non-coding RNA is filed under the name Schistosoma mattheei. The record is from RNAcentral. Lineage: Eukaryota; Metazoa; Platyhelminthes; Trematoda; Strigeidida; Schistosomatidae.